RNAcentral lists this ribosomal RNA (527 nucleotides) under Enterococcus faecium. RNAcentral's name for it is "bacterial SSU rRNA". It matches the Rfam family "Bacterial small subunit ribosomal RNA", at positions 18 to 516 of the family's 1533-position model. The record is from RNAcentral. Lineage: Bacteria; Bacillati; Bacillota; Bacilli; Lactobacillales; Enterococcaceae.
UCUGGCUCAGGACGAACGCUGGCGGCGUGCCUAAUACAUGCAAGUCGAACGCUUCUUUUUCCACCGGAGCUUGCUCCACCGGAAAAAGAGGAGUGGCGAACGGGUGAGUAACACGUGGGUAACCUGCCCAUCAGAAGGGGAUAACACUUGGAAACAGGUGCUAAUACCGUAUAACAAUCNAAACCGCAUGGUUUUGAUUUGAAAGGCGCUUUCGGGUGUCGCUGAUGGAUGGACCCGCGGUGCAUUAGCUAGUUGGUGAGGUAACGGCUCACCAAGGCCACGAUGCAUAGCCGACCUGAGAGGGUGAUCGGCCAUAUUGGGACUGAGACACGGCCCAAACUCCUACGGGAGGCAGCAGUAGGGAAUCUUCGGCAAUGGACGAAAGUCUGACCGAGCAACGCCGCGUGAGUGAAGAAGGUUUUCGGAUCGUAAAACUCUGUUGUUAGAGAAGAACAAGGAUGAGAGUAACUGUUCAUCCCUUGACGGUAUCUAACCAGAAAGCCACGGCUAACUACGUGCCAGCAGCC